GCAAGUCGAGCGGAAACGAAGAGGUGCUUGCACCUCUGGCGUCGAGCGGCGGACGGGUGAGUAAUUCUUGGGAAUAUGCCUUAUGGUGGGGGACAACAGUUGGAAACGACUGCUAAUACCGUAUAACGUCUACGGACCAAAGGGGGGGAUCUUCGGACCUCUUGCGUCAAGAUAUGCCUAGGUGGGAUUAGCUAGUUGGUGAGGUAAUGGCUCACCAAGGCGACGAUGCCUAGCUGGUCUGAGAGGAUGAUC
This 252-nucleotide ribosomal RNA is filed under the name uncultured bacterium. RNAcentral describes it as "partial 16S ribosomal RNA". It matches the Rfam family "Bacterial small subunit ribosomal RNA", at positions 57 to 305 of the family's 1533-position model. The record is from RNAcentral.